Molecule: long non-coding RNA, 642 nt
Organism: Cyprinus carpio (common carp)
Lineage: Eukaryota; Metazoa; Chordata; Actinopteri; Cypriniformes; Cyprinidae
Source: RefSeq, a predicted model, not a curated record
UGCUUGAUGUGCCCAAAUCAAGUGCUGGUGAUUGCCUUUGGCGAGGCAUCAAGGGGUUUAAGAGUUUGAAAAAUUCAGGAAUCAGUAUCCAAGUCAAGAACAACCUCCUGGACAGUAACUAGUCUGGUUUUAAAAGCAGCCACUGAACUGAGACUGCCCUGCUCUUGGUUAUUAAAGCUCUGUGACUUGCAAGAGCAGCUUCAAAGUCAUCUGUACUCCUUUUGCUGGAGUCUUUGUCUGUGGCUUUUGGCACAGUUAUCCACCUGAUUGUCCUGUCAACCCUCUUGACAAAGCGUGUCUCAGGAACCACACUCCAGUGGUUCAAGUUUUAACUCUCAGCUGGAUGUGUUGACGGUCACUGCUCACAUCUCUGCCUCCUGGAUAGAAAUGUCUUGCUGGAUGUUGAAUGACCAUCAGCUCAACCUUGCCAAGACAGGACUGCUCAUGUUUUGCACUUCCAGAUCAUUGCAGUGGCCCGAUCCUGCAGAUUUGCCCUGUAUAACAUUAGCAAGAUCAGACCCUUCCUUACGGGGCUGCUACAGAACUCCUUGUCCAAGCUCUGAUUCUCUCCAGACUGGACUAUUGUACUGCUCUCUUGGCAGACCUUCCAGGCUGUACUAACAAGCUUCUGCAACUAAUCCA